UCGAGAAUAGUCUACAAUGGUCGAAAGACUGAUAGUGCGACGCCGCGUGAACGAAGAAUCCCUUCGGGGUGUAAAGUUCUUUUUUAAUCGAGCAAUGCCUUUUAUGUGAUAAGCAUGAGAGGAGAGAUAUUAGGUUAAGAAUAAGCAACGGCUAACUCCGUGCCAGCAGCCGCGGUAACACGGGGGUUGCAAGCGUUGUCCGGAAUUACUAGGCGUAAAGGGCAGGUAGGCGGAUAUAUAAGUUUUGUGUUAAAGGCAUCGGCUUAACCGGUGUAAGGCAUAGGAUACUGUAUAUCUGGAAUGCGGUUGAGGAAGACAGAAUUCCUGGUGUAGCGGUGGAAUGCGCAGAGAUCAGGAGGAAUACCAAAGGCGAAGGCAGUCUUCUAAGCCGAUAUUGACG
RNAcentral lists this ribosomal RNA (400 nucleotides) under uncultured bacterium. RNAcentral describes it as "bacterial SSU rRNA". It matches the Rfam family "Bacterial small subunit ribosomal RNA", at positions 355 to 745 of the family's 1533-position model. The record is from RNAcentral.